UACAGAGGUCUCAAGCGUUGUUCGGAUUCAUUGGGCGUAAAGGGUGCGUAGGUGGCGCUGUAAGUCGGGCGUGAAAUUUCGGAGCUUAACUCCGAAACUGCAUUCGAUACUGCGGUGCUUGAGGACUGGAGAGGAGACUGGAAUUCAUGGUGUAGCAGUGAAAUGCGUAGAGAUCAUGAGGAAGACCAGUGGCGAAGGCGGGUCUCUGGACAGUUCCUGACACUGAGGCACGAAGGCCAGGGGAGCAAACGGG
RNAcentral lists this ribosomal RNA (253 nucleotides) under uncultured bacterium. Its description in RNAcentral is "partial 16S ribosomal RNA". It matches the Rfam family "Bacterial small subunit ribosomal RNA", at positions 524 to 776 of the family's 1533-position model. The record is from RNAcentral.